Cynoglossus semilaevis (tongue sole) is the source of this 131-nucleotide non-coding RNA. NCBI's taxonomy places the organism in Eukaryota, Metazoa, Chordata, Actinopteri, Pleuronectiformes, Cynoglossidae. The record is from Ensembl.
UGUGGAGGUUUAAGAAGGUGAGACCAGUCCAGACCAUGUGGUCCUCACUGAUACCCACCUCCUACAGAGAACAGGCUGAGAGAACAACUCCUGUCAGCAGAAGGACAUGGGUUACAUCUCAGCCAACAUGU